AUUGAACGCUGGCGGCAUGCCUUACACAUGCAAGUCGAACGGCAGCACGGGAGCAAUCCUGGUGGCGAGUGGCGAACGGGUGAGUAAUAUAUCGGAACGUACCCGGUCGUGGGGAUAACGUAGCGAAAGCUACGCUAAUACCGCAUACGAUCUACGGAUGAAAGCGGGGGAUCGCAAGACCUCGCGCGAUUGGAGCGGCCGAUAUCAGAUUAGGUAGUUGGUGAGGUAAAGGCUCACCAAGCCGACGAUCUGUAGCUGGUCUGAGAGGACGACCAGCCACACUGGGACUGAGACACGGCCCAGACUCCUACGGGAGGCAGCAGUGGGGAAUUUUGGACAAUGGGCGCAAGCCUGAUCCAGCAAUGCCNCGUGCAGGAUGAAGGCCUCGG
This 389-nucleotide ribosomal RNA is filed under the name uncultured bacterium. Its description in RNAcentral is "bacterial SSU rRNA". It matches the Rfam family "Bacterial small subunit ribosomal RNA", at positions 30 to 420 of the family's 1533-position model. The record is from RNAcentral.